RNAcentral lists this long non-coding RNA (1115 nucleotides) under Equus caballus (horse). RNAcentral's name for it is "lncRNA (ENSECAG00000047824.1)". The record is from RNAcentral. Lineage: Eukaryota; Metazoa; Chordata; Mammalia; Perissodactyla; Equidae.
CUGCAGUAGUAAUUAGCUAUAUCCAGAGUAAAAGAAAGAAGAGUAAGGAUAUAAACUUUCCAGCAUACGUGAAGGUUCCAAGGUCAUAAAGGGCCUGGCUGGUGCGGGAAGACCAGUGUGGCUAGAGAAUUGUGAGCAAGAGUUGCAUAAAGUAUAGCCUGGGCUCUCUGGCCACAGGUUAUUUAAUCAGGGAGUCAGCUGAAUCAAACUGAGUCAAUUGAGCUGUGUUUUCACUACUUGGAGUUAGUGAUAUAGAGAAUUUAGCCAGUUUGUUUUGGGUUCUGAAGAUAUAAGUUCAUGUAGAAAUUGAAGUUCCUGUAAAGUUAGGAAAAGAGGCAGCAUCCUGGGCACCAGAGCCCUGUGUAAACCUUUGUUAAGAGGAACGGAAUCUAAGAUAUAUCUGCGGAGAGAACUGGAAGUGGAACAAACUUGGAGAAAAGAGCAGCCAAGAGAUAAGAGACUGAGGUAUGAAGAGAUGAAGUAAUUUAUCCCAAAUGAGACAGCUGCUGCGCUGACAUGCUCUUGAAUUCAAUAUCUCCAAUCACAAUCUUCUGAUUCUCCUCCUUCCUGACUGCACAAGAUAGAAGUACUCCAUGUGGAGUUACAUGAGAACCUUCCUGUAAAAUCAAUCUGAGAGUGGUGGAAUCAUUGAAUUGGUGGCGAGCAGAUGCUGAUCGGGAGGCAGGACCAGGCAUCACCAUCAUGAGUGAGUUGUUGGAGGAAGUAAAUACACACCCAUAAGAGACCCAUAGAAGAGCAGGACCAUGGUGAGGAUCUCAAGUUAUACUCACAGCAACCUUAGGAUGAAGGAACUGUUAUUAUUCUCAUUUUACUGAUGAGAAAACUGAGGAUAAUGACCUGAUGAAGGUCAUACAACUACUAAAUGGAGCUGAUGGGAUUCCAACCUAGGUGUGCAUGACUCUAGAGUCCAUGCUCUUAACCACCAUACAUUGUCCAAGUAUAUUUGAUGGUUUUAAUCAUUAACAAUUUCAUAGGUGCAAAAUAAUCUAAUUGUUCUAACUUGCAUGUCUUUGCUUACUGGUAAGAUUGAAUAUUUUUUUCAGCUGAUUUUUAACCAUGGAAAUUAUUUCUCAAAUUAUCCUGUUGAUAUAUUU